RNAcentral lists this unclassified non-coding RNA (262 nucleotides) under Hevea brasiliensis (rubber tree). The record is from RNAcentral. Lineage: Eukaryota; Viridiplantae; Streptophyta; Magnoliopsida; Malpighiales; Euphorbiaceae.
AUUAAAUUUCUUCAAUAAAGUACAAUUGCUUCAUGGUAUUGUCCAAAUGUUAUGAAUUAGCAUGUAAACAAGAUCAUUCAACGCUGCAUCUAUGAGGUAGAGUUCAGCCAAUUUGUAACUGUGGUACUUAUUCUCAACUUUAAUCUUUACAUAUAUUUCAUAUAUCCCACAAAAAGCAGCCCUGUGCAGUGAGGAGUGGGGCAAAAGAAUAAUUUAUGUCCACAUAUAGCUGUAUUUCCAUAAUGAGAGAGAGAGAGAGAGA